Non-coding RNA from Oryctolagus cuniculus (rabbit), 6848 nucleotides. NCBI's taxonomy places the organism in Eukaryota, Metazoa, Chordata, Mammalia, Lagomorpha, Leporidae. The record is from RefSeq and is a predicted model, not a curated record.
ACUCCUGUUUUUUCCAUUCUAGUCAAAGCGAGACUAAUGUACACUGGAUGGUGGCACACAAAUCUUUAAGACUCUUGAGGGGACAGAGUUGACCAGAGAGAUGACUGUGAUGAUUAGCAGGAAGGUGAUUCCAGGAGAUUACAGUGCAAUGCUUCACAAGAACGCAACGGAGCUCAACUGAUCAAAUUGAAAAAAAUCAAAUCUCCGGCUAUGCUAGAAGACCAAUCACCAAAUCCAGGUUAUUUUGCAGAGAGAAAGCUAUUACAAGGAGAUCAGGAAGAAGAUUCCUGUUACACCAGUUUCAGCAGAACUCCCCAUCAACAAUAUCGGAUCAUCCUCAUCGUCUGAUCAGUUUCAUCAUCCUCCACCAUCUUCCAAAUGAUGCCUCAUCUCCCUGGCCUGCCUUCAGCUAGAAUCCCCAUUGACCCUGAUGUUCCUUUUAGUAAUUCUCCAACUACUGCCCUUGCCUUGCUCUUUGUCUAGAAAGGGUCACACGCAUAGGCUUGGGUUCCACCUCUCUCUCCCACUGCAACACCUCAUAGGACUCCACACCUAUAGUGAUGGCCUCCUCUUGAUUACAGUCUUCUUUACCUCUUUUAACAUCAUGGGUUAUAUUCUGAAGCAGUAAAAAGCAAUUCAAUUAGUCAUUUAUGAGCCAAAGAGUGGGCAUUUGCAUGGUUUCUGUGUUAUGAUCUUUUCAUAAAGAAAGAAUGGGGAAUGCAUGGAUGUUGUCCAUGUCCUAUAGGAAAAGGGAGGGUUUUAUUGCAAGUUUGGGAUUCCUUUAAACUUCCUUGUUUUCUAGGAGCAGAAGCAGAGGAGUCACAUAAAUUCAACUUGUCAUGGAAUAGCUCCUUCUCUAACAACAAGCCUUGAGAUAAGAAAGCAAUAGUCAUUGUACAAAUAAGUUAAUUUUGUUGGGGUUUAUGUAAAUCUAUGGAAGGUCUUUAUAAAGCCUAAAAUGCAAAAGUUAAUUAUAGUCCUAAUAUAAACUAAAUAUCAAUUAGUGAUUGUCAUUGACUGGAAACAGUAUUAACCAUAUUGAAUAUAUUAUUAUCUAACUUUUUUGUCACAAUUUUACAAAGACAGUAUUAAUAUAUCCAUUUUACAGAAUAAAAUACAGAAGCAAAAAGAAGCCAUAAGGCAGAUGCCUAAAGCCACAGUUUAAACAUCAGACUAAAUUCUUAUUGUUGAAAAGGUGCCUUUUUUUGGCUCUGAAAUAUAAGAAAAAACAAAGUGUUUUUUCUACUCUGACUCACCAUUUAAAAUAACACUUCCGACAUCUGAUGUGGAAAAGUACUUCCCCAGUUCCCAAUAAUUUUCUAGAAAAUGCCUGCUGGGAGUCCUAUUGCUAUAGCUAUAGAGACAGAUAUGUAUCCAAGAAAGAGGUGGAGGAAAUACCAUUCCUGCUAGGGUUGCCGCUCAAACUCAUCCCAUGAAUGGCAACUUGAAAUUGCUAUUAUAGCAAAGCUGCUGCCCAGAAAUAGCACCAGCCAAAAAUAUCAACAUGGCUAUUUACUGUGUCGCACUGACAACUUAUAGCCUAUUAUAAUUCCAUUAUAAUAAAAUUACCAUGGCUGACACUCCCACUCCCAUUGUGCCAUGAAUGCCAUGAAAAUUCCAAGACUUCUUAUAAAGGCCAGAAAAUGUCCAGUCAGCAAAUUCCUGGAAAUGUUUGUCCAUUCCUGAAAGGGUUUACUCCCUCCUAAGUGUGUACUUUCACUUUGCUAGUAAAUCUAAUUCCUCUGCUAAGCUUUAUCUAUGUCUUGUCCUUGAGUUCUUUCAUAUGUCAGAGAUAAGAACAUGAACCUCUUAAAUUCUGAACAUUGUAACACCUCUUUUUUAAAUUUAUAUAAGUUGAACAAAUUUCAUGUAGUUCAUAGUGGUAUGAAAUACAUAGUGAUACUUCCACUCUAUAACUCCUCUUAAUUCCAACACUCUAAGACAGAGUCAAAUCCCAAAGGUUGAAGGUUCAGUUCCACAAGACCGCUCCCUCCCCAUUUCAGAUGCCAAUCAUAAGUAAUAGAUCAUCAGCUAUACUCUGACCAGCCAGCUAUAUCAGGGGUCUUUCUGCCUUCCCCUUGGGUUCAAUUAAUUUUCUAUCAGUCACAGAGAUCAGGGAAAUACUUUGCUUACAUGUAGCAGUUGAAUGAUAGGGAAGGUAAGAAAGAAUAAAAAAGCCAGAUAAGCUACACAAUGUGAGGUCUAGAAAAGUCCUAAGCACAGAAAUUUCUGUCCUUGUGAAGUUGAGAUGACCAUUGUCCCAGCACAAGGAUAUGUUUGACAAUUGGGAAGCUCUCUGAACCCUUAAAUUUGGAGAACUUUAUGGAGGUUUUAUUUAUUUCCAGUGUCUCUUCCAUCUCUGGAGAAUAGGAGCGGGAUAACUGAAUGACCUACUCUUGUAAUCAUGGUUAUCUCGUUCUGGUGACCAGACCUUAGUCAAGAGCCCACUAUGAGUUGUUUCAUUAGGAAAAAAAAAAAAGGUGUCCAGUAAAUUCCAAAGGAUUUAGGAACUCUGGGUCAAGAACUGGGGUCAAAGGCCAAGUAUUACAGCAAAGUGAUUUUCCUAGUGCCCCCAUCUAGUAGGGUAUUAGGAAUUGUGACUCAGGAGAUUGGGCCAGAAUAAAAUAUUGGGAUCAAAGAUUCUUCUAGCACCCCUAUCACUCAGAAAACUACAAAGGUGUUAGGUGAUCUGUGCUCAGGGCUGGAACCAGAGACCAAGAUAUAUGUAUUUCCUAUUACUAUCUCACACUGGCAGUCAAGCUACGUCAAACAUUACAUUGACCUGUUAGUGAAACUGAACCCCUAUACAUGGCCUUGAAUGCAAAUGUUGGAUACCACCAGGCCCCUGCCUCUCAGCCUCUCUCCCUUAGUGUAAGGUGUCUUUGUCCUGUGUUGUGUGUGCAUGUGUGUGUUGUUGUUGUUGUUGUUUUAACCUUUUUUUAAUUGCAAGUUGGCCUCUUACUAAAUUUAACUUACUGAAUUGAGGGAGUACUGCAGCCAUCACUGGACUCAUGUGGUCAUUUUUUUCUCCAAUGAUUACCAACUCGAUGGCUGGUAUGGUCUCAAAGGGUAUCUUCUCAGGGAAAUUCCAGGCCCAUGGCAGGAAGUAAUUACCAUCUGCAUGUUGUCCUCAGAAUGGCUAAAGCCCAAACACUGCAGACCAACCAGAAACUUAGGUAUGAGCUGAACAUCCAUUCUCAAGACCCAACUUAAAUCUAUAAGAAGCUUUGUCCUUCUCCCCACAAGGAGCCUGCAACUUGAGCUACAGCAGCCUGGCUCCUAGUUAUGAACAUUGCAAUAAGUACCUCCUUUCUCCUAGCAUCUCAAUGCCAGUGAUUUGGCUUUCUGCAUGUGGGGCAGACAUCUCCAGUCUGGGGGUUCUACAGUAACUCCUCCAACCACUUAUUGAGACCGUUCCUUACUAUUACCAAUUCCUUGACAAGUUGAGGCAUGUGGCACACUCACAUGCUUUGUGAUCAAUCUAGCAGGAAGAACUGAGACUCUGACUAUAUUUCAUAUAGAGGAGGUUAAAAAUGUUUUCCUCUACUUCAGUGGUUAUGGCUUACAAAUCACAUGUAAUAUGAGACAGGUAAUAAGAAAAAUGAGUUUUAGGUAUAUAUGCACACACAAGAGUUCACAAAGAAUGUCCUUCUAGGCGGUGGCCACGUGACUGAGGUUUCUAGAUAGUCUUGGACUAAGAAAAGGAAAAGGUGUGGGUCCUCUGAGUGGGAAAAUCAAGUUUGGGAAAAGGAAGGCAGGAAAUGAGCAGUAGAGUUGUCUCGUUAGUCAAGCCAGAAGCUUUGUGGGGCAAGUUACCUCUGGCAGUAGCUCUCUUCUUAGCGUGGCAAUCUCUUUACAAAUGAAGUUUAUGGGGUCCAGAAAGCUAAGUUAUUAUCUGGGUUGAGUAGUCAUUGUAUUUCUGGAAAAGGGGUGGGGGGCAACUUCCAGAACUAAGGAUCCACCUCUUUUUCUCCCCUUAUGUGGUCAUUUCUGUAGGUUGUCAUGGCAAUUGUAACCUGUGAUGGCAGGAGGGGGAGAGGUUUUUACUCUGUUAAUGCAUCACAAUGAGGGUAUAAUGGGACUGGAGGAAAGGUAGUGCAUAAUCUGGACACCAUUUUGGAUUUAACUGAUUUGAACCAGUUCUGUUACCUUAAUCUUGAUUUUGUUCAGCUUACAUCCUGGUGGAUGGAGCUGAGACUUUCCAUAUACUAUAUAUCAAAAAACACAGGGGCCGGCGCUGUGGCUCACUUUGUUAAUCCUCCGCCUGUGGCGCCAGCAUCCCAUGUGGGUGCCUGGUAUUUAUCUCCAAAUGGUAUCUCCAGAUGGUAUUUCUCUCCAAAUUAAAAACACUGUAUACUAAAAAUAUUAAUCUGUCAAGUAGGAGAGUUUUACAAUUUCAAAUAGAUCAAAAUUGUAUACCUACAACAAUUGGAAAUUAAACAAAAGUUGCAAUGUUGUUUUUAAAUGGGUGAAAUAUUUGAGUCCUAAUGAAUGUCAAUGCACACAGCACAAGAAUGAGAUCUAAGGGCCGGCGCCAUGGCUCACUUGACUAAUCCUCCGCCUGCGGCGCCGGCACCCUGGGUUCUAGUCCCGGUUGGGGCACUGGAUCCUGUCCCGGCUGCUCCUCUUCCAGUCCAGCUCUCUGCUGUGGCCCAAAAAGGCAGUGGAGGAUGGCCCAAGUGCUUGGGCUGCACCUGCAUGGGAGAUCAGGAGGAAGCACCUGGCUCCUGGCUUCGGAUAGGCGCAGCGCUGGCCAUAGCAGCCAUUUGGGGAGUGAACCAACAUAAGGAAGACCUUUCUCUCUGUCUCUCUCUUUCACUGUCUAUGACUCUACCUGUCAAAUAAUAUGUGUAUAUAUAUAUAUAUAUAUAUAAAUAUAUAUAUAUCUCAAAAUGGUUGCUUAUCUUGGAAAAUUAUCACACUCAUUAACGGCUAAUAAAAUAUCAGGAAUCAUAAUAAGAUCUUAUUAUAUUUUCAUUUAUAAAUGUCUAUGUCUGCGCUACAUUACAUAAACUGGAUUAGCAAAUUGCCAUGUAAAAUUUAGGUAUGGGUAGAAGCCGUGCAAUUUGCAUACCAAAUUAAGGUAUAAUGAGAAAGGAACAGAUGAUGACUGUUUUUCUGUUUUGAUUUUAAAUGUUUGCAAAUGUGUGAGUCUAUGUUGCUACUUAUUUGUAUGUAUUUUCAACAUAUUUAAACUAAGAACUACAUUAUCAUGUGAAGAUAUCUAGUGAAGGGAACAACAGACUGACUUCUAAAAAUGCCAUCCUGUUUAUACAGUGUAAAUAUUCAACAUGGGUUAUUUUGGUCAAAACAGUUGUAUUUUAGAAAACACAGCAUUGCAAUCCUCUUUACCCUGAUCUUCGACUUUAUUCUUUUUAUUCACUUCUAUCGUUCUAACUUAGUGUAACCAUUCAUCCAGUUAAAUAAAUUGUCAAAUCUCUGCUAUAGGGCAGCCCCUGUGUUGUUUCCUAGAAAAUGUUACAAAAAAGAAAGAACAUUGCACUCUUAUUUAUUGGACAUUCAAUAUAUUCUAAUGAAUGUAAAUUAUAGAUGGAUAGAUGGAGGGAUGGAUGGAUGAGUGGAAGCAUCAAGCAAAUGUGUUUUUUAUGACAUCUAAUAUACAGCACUGCAUUCAGUUUUGCUAGUCAUGACAGCAAUGUCAUCUAUCUCCUACAGAUCUCUGAAUUCCCGUUAGAGGUCUCACCCUUUGCACAAAGCUUUCAAAGCUCCUACAAAUUACAACCCCACAAUAAUAUGUUACAUAAUCACUCACUUAUCCAGAGUCUCCUUUUUUUAUUCUUUAGGCCUUUAUCAAAUAACCACUCUGUUCCUAGAAUUUCUCUAGGCCUUUGGGUCCAUGUCAUUAUGGAUUAAGAACUCAAUGAAAAAUAGACUUUGGGCAAAUAAUUUGAAACGUAAAGACUAUUUAAAGUUUACAGACUGGCCGGCACCCUGGCUCAACAGGCUAAUCCUCCACCUAACGGUGCCGGCACGCUGGGUUCUAGUCCCAGUGGGGGCGCCGGAUUCUUUCCCGGUUGCCCCUCUUCCAGGCCAGCUCUCUAUUAUGGCCCGGGAGUGCAGUGGAGGAUGACCCAAGUGCUUGGGCCCUGCACCCCAUGGGAGACCAGGAGAAGCACCUGGCUCCUGCCUUUGGAUCAGCGCGGUGUGCCAGCCACAGCGCACCAGCCGCGGCAGCCAUUGGAGGGUGAACCAAUGGCAAAAAGGAAGACCUUUCUCUCUGUCUCUCUUUCUCACUGUCCACUCUGCCUGUCAAAAACAAAAAGUUUAUAGACUAUAAAAGUUCAAGUAAUUUUGAGGACAAAAUAUAAAAAAGACCUGAAAAACUGAAGUUAGCUAGAAGUACAUAGGAUUAUGGGUAGGUGUCAGGUUAGCGUGAAAAGAUGUUUCCCAAGAACACCAAAUAGGAGAAACUUAAAAAGGCAAGAUAUAAAGAAGGCUUGUGUGUGCUUGGUAUUGUGAACAAUGGCUAAGGCAAAGGGUUCAAGAAAAGUUUAGACAAAUAGGUUAAGCUUAGGUGACACAAAGCUUAGCUCUACCACCUCCUCCAACAUGGAACUCCACACAAGUUCCAUGAAGAAAGGAGUCUUGCCUGCUUAGGUUAAUUCUGCAUCACCCUUUCCUAGUACAGCGUCUGACAAGUUGCAAGUUUCCCAUGGACAUUGUCAAGUGAGGAAUAAAAUACUUUUAAUAUUGUUGGAACUGAACAAUACUUAGAUUGAAAUCUUUCAUUCUGACAGACAUACUCAUAUUUUUAGGUAUAGGCAUAUAUAGCUAUAAAGAUCGAUUUUGACAUCUAAUUUCUGUUUUGGUUCAGUCUCCUACUUGUA